GACGAACGCUGGCGGCGUGCUUAACACAUGCAAGUCGAACGGAAAGGCCCUGCUUGCCGGGUGCUCGAGUGGCGAACGGGUGAGUAACACGUGGGUGAUCUGCCCCUUACUUUGGGAUAAGCCUGGGAAACUGGGUCUAAUACUGGAUAGGACCAUGCUGUAGGUGGUGUGGUGGAAAGAUUAGUUUCGGUAAGGGAUGAGCUCGCGGCCUAUCAGCUUGUUGGUGGGGUAAUGGCCUACCAAGGCGUCGACGGGUAGCCGGCCUGAGAGGGUGGACAGCCACAUUGGGACUGAGAUACGGCCCAGACUCCUACGGGAGGCAGCAGUGGGGAAUAGUGCACAAUGGGCGCAAGCCUGAUGCAGCGACGCCGCGUGGGGGAUGACGGCCUUCGGGUUGUAAACUCCUUUCAGCCAUGACGAAGCCCUUGUGGUGACGGUAGUGGUAGAAGAAGCACCGGCUAACUACGUG
Molecule: ribosomal RNA, 469 nt
Filed under: uncultured bacterium
Lineage: Bacteria
Description: partial 16S ribosomal RNA
Rfam family: Bacterial small subunit ribosomal RNA
Source: RNAcentral